GUCUACAGCCACGCCACCCUGAACAAGCCCCAUCCCGUCUGAUCUCAGAAGCUAAGCAGGGUCGGGCCUGGUUAGUACUUGGAUGGGAGACCACCUAGGAACACCAGGUGCUGUAGGCA
This 119-nucleotide ribosomal RNA is filed under the name Pteropus alecto (black flying fox). Lineage: Eukaryota; Metazoa; Chordata; Mammalia; Chiroptera; Pteropodidae. The record is from RNAcentral.